This 21-nucleotide non-coding RNA is filed under the name Arabidopsis thaliana (thale cress). Lineage: Eukaryota; Viridiplantae; Streptophyta; Magnoliopsida; Brassicales; Brassicaceae. The record is from RNAcentral.
UGAUUGGUAAUGUGUCACGUA